CACAGGACGCUAGUUGUGAACAAGGUGCGAAGAGCCUACUGAGCUACUAGAGAGUCCUCCGGCCCCUGAAUGCGGCUAAUCCCAACCACGGAGCGGGUGCUCACAAGCCAGUGAGUUGCCUGUCGUAAGGCGUAAGUCUGUGGCGGAACCGACUACUUUGGGUGUCCGUGUUUCUAUUUAUCUCAUAUAUGGCUGCUUAUGGUGACAAUCAUUGAUUGUUAUCAUAAAGCGAGUUGGAUUGGCCAUCCGGUG
Molecule: non-coding RNA, 252 nt
Filed under: Poliovirus 3
Lineage: Riboviria; Orthornavirae; Pisuviricota; Pisoniviricetes; Picornavirales; Picornaviridae
Description: Human poliovirus 3 Picornavirus internal ribosome entry site (IRES)
Rfam family: Picornavirus internal ribosome entry site (IRES)
About the family: IRES elements allow cap and end-independent translation of mRNA in the host cell.
Source: Rfam by way of RNAcentral